RNAcentral lists this ribosomal RNA (440 nucleotides) under uncultured bacterium. RNAcentral describes it as "partial 16S ribosomal RNA". It matches the Rfam family "Bacterial small subunit ribosomal RNA", at positions 338 to 795 of the family's 1533-position model. The record is from RNAcentral.
CCUACGGGUGGCAGCAGUGGGGGAUAUUGGACAAUGGGGGAAACCCUGAUCCAGCGAUGCCGCGUGAGGGAAGAAGGUUUUCGGAUUGUAAACCUCUGUGGAGGGGGACGAUAAUGACGGUACCCCUUUAGGAAGCCACGGCUAACUACGUGCCAGCAGCCGCGGUAAUACGUAGGUGGCGAGCGUUGUCCGGAAUUACUGGGUGUAAAGGGAGUGUAGGCGGGAAAGCAAGUCAGAAGUGAAAACUAUGGGCUUAACCCAUAGCCUGCUUUUGAAACUGUUUUUCUUGAGUACUGGAGAGGCAGACGGAAUUCCUAGUGUAGCGGUGAAAUGCGUAGAUAUUAGGAGGAACACCAGUGGCGAAGGCGGUCUGCUGGACAGCAACUGACGCUGAGGCGCGAAAGCGUGGGGAGCAAACAGGAUUAGAUACCCUGGUAGUC